Molecule: long non-coding RNA, 234 nt
Filed under: Solanum tuberosum (potato)
Lineage: Eukaryota; Viridiplantae; Streptophyta; Magnoliopsida; Solanales; Solanaceae
Description: long non-coding RNA (STUB_LNC001458)
Source: RNAcentral
GAAAAAAAUAUAAGAGUUGUUGUCUUACGUUUCAAUAAAUAAGUGAUGAACGAAGAAAAAAAUUCAAGACCUCGAUUCACAAGUAAAUAGAGAAGCAGGAGAGGAAGGUAAGUUUUUAACCUAGUUUAUAGAUUUAAUUUGUAUAUUCCAUGACUAUAGAAUUGGGGUUGAAAUUUAAAGAAACAUGGAUUAAAGAAUUAGAGGAAUUUGUUAAAUUUCAUGAACGGAGAGAGG